UUAUUAUUAUUAUUAUUUGUUUUGGAGAUCAAAUUUUCUUUUUGGAGUUAUAUUGAAAGAUAAAUAAUCAAUUUGAGAAUAAAAUCACUUAUCCUAUACUUUUGCUUUCACAUUUCAUCUAUUUCUUGGAAGGAUUUACUGGCGUUUGAAGAAAAGCAAUCCUUCCAAUGAACUCCAACAAAACAAGGGAAGUGUCUUCGUCUUGGCAUUCUUUACUUAUUUUCCUUUUCCUUAAUAAGAUAUUUUCCUUUUACUUAAAUUAUAUAUGUAAAAGAUCACAUACUUUAAUGUCUGGACUCUGGGAUGUGAAUGUAUCCCACUUGUUUAACAACUCACUUUCGAAAAAGCCAUAAGCAUUUUCUUCUUAUCAUAACGUUUUUAAGGUUGUUAACUCUGCAUCGGUGCCAAGAUGUAGUAGCUUGAGUACUGGAAUGUAAGCUGCCUAUAUGUAACUGAUUACGUACUCCUUGCCCACUUAUCUACAGGGUGAAAGUGAUGGACCUGUUGGUUCUUUUGCUGGUUCUCUACAGUAGACACAUGCAGGUGACAUUGCUGACUUCAUCCAGAAAAAACUGAAGUUGCCACCAGUAUUGCUUGGACAUUCAUUUGGGGGCCUAAUUAUUCAGUACUUUAUUGCAAAUAUUAGAAACAAACAACUUAUAGGUAAUCUUCAUCAUCCAAUUUUUAGGUAACUGUCAUAUACUGGUUGAUGCUGAUCUCAUAACCUUCAUGUCAACAUUGUAAAAUGUUCGUAAUAGAUGCAUUGAAACACUUUUGUCAUUAAUUUGUGUGGUCAAUAACCCACAAAAUGUUAAUUAUGUUUCAAUUUUCUUUGGACGAAGCCUCUCCUGAAGGGGUCAGCUAUGAGAUUCAAACUUGGUUUGUUACAGAUAUUGAACAUAUUUUUUGGUCCUCACCAACAAAGCUUGAGCUUUUAGGUUGGAGAUCCUUAAUAUUUAUCAAAGUAAUCUAGGUUUGCUUCAUUGCUCUGAAAACAUACUGCUUCACCUUCACUGACUUUAUUCUUAUUCUAAUUGGGCUCAAUUCUAGAAAUGAAGAAGCUGUGCCCCUACCCUGAUCUUGCUGGAGCUGUGCUUGUCUGUUGCGUACCUCCUUCGGUGGGUUAGUGUGGCGGUAUCUCUUUUCCAAGCCUAUUGCUGCUUUUAAGGUGACACGCAGCUUGGCAGCUAAAGCUUUUCAAACUGAUCUUUCUCUUUUUAAGGAAACAUUUUUCACAUCAACAAUGGAGGAUAAUCUGGUGAUGCGGUUUGUUCACUGGUCCUUUAAGAAAUAACAAUUCUCAUGAACAGUUAAAACUCCUUGUGGCAUUUGAAAUGAUAAAUGGAAAUUAACAAUGUAAAUUUAUACGGUUAAGGUUGUGUUUCAUUUUAUUGAUUUAAGCAUUUGUUGGCCUAUUUAAGUGCAGUGUCUUCAGAAAAUUGAAUAAGAAAAUUUCACUGCAAGUCAACUUGCAUUCUAAAAUCCAAACUCAUACUAUCUGAGCUAAAGAGAGGCCAUUGUUUGAUCUGAUCUAAAAUCAUCCAUGUAGUCCCUGGUCUUGAAAAUACACAGAGAAUGUGCCAAGCUGUGAUUGAACUUAAUGUACAUCCAUAACUUAAUGAGAGAGUUUAUUUUGAUGGAUGUUUUAGUUGAAGUUUUCAAACUUGCCCAUAUGAUGUCAUUCCUUCACUGUAAAAAACCCUACUUGAGUUAUGGAAAUUAUAUUUGUUGAUCCUAGCCCUUGAUUUUGACUGAUAUCUUACAUUAUAUAUUUCUAUUGAGAAAUAAUUAUAAAAGUCAACUUUGGUAUAUAUCUAGGCAGUAGCAAUGUAAGCUCAAGAAAAUUAUGUCCUCAUAAAUGUUUCAAAAUGCUUAACUUGCAACUUUAUGUGAUUGCAUGCUGAGCAAAGGCUAGUUUUUUCUUCAAUAUGAAAACUUGGAUGGUGGUUUCUUUCAGUUAUCAGGAACUAAUGAGAGAAAGUUCAAGAAUGCCAUUGUUUGAUCUACGGAAGCUAAAUGCAUCACUUCCUGUUCCUUCAGUGCCAAAAUCUUCCAUGAAAGUCCUUGUGGUGGGUGCAAGUGAUGACUUCAUAGUGGAUGCCGAAGGACUUCAUGAAACAGGAAGAUUUUAUGGCGUAUCACCAAUCUGUGUUGAAGGAGUUGCCCAUGACAUGAUGUUAGAUUGCUCUUGGGAGGAAGGCGCAAAAGUUAUCCUCUCAUGGUUGAAUGGUUUGAGCAGAUAAGACCCUAUGUAAUUCGAAAUGAACUCAUCCAUCCUUAGAUUGCCAUUUUGACAGUUUGCUCCAAACUUGUGUAUCCAUGCAAGAGCAAGAAUAAACUGGUUUAUUCUGAUUUUAAAUUUCCUUUCGAAUGGUGAAAGGUCUAUUCCACUAAUGUAAGUCGGUGAGGGUUUGAAUCUCACUAAUAUGAUGAUCAUUCACUCUCUAAUAUUUAAAAAAGAAAAAUCAUAAUUGAAG
This 2477-nucleotide unclassified non-coding RNA is filed under the name Hevea brasiliensis (rubber tree). The record is from RNAcentral. Lineage: Eukaryota; Viridiplantae; Streptophyta; Magnoliopsida; Malpighiales; Euphorbiaceae.